RNAcentral lists this ribosomal RNA (752 nucleotides) under Lactobacillus sp. B11_82. Its description in RNAcentral is "bacterial SSU rRNA". It matches the Rfam family "Bacterial small subunit ribosomal RNA", at positions 121 to 858 of the family's 1533-position model. The record is from RNAcentral. Lineage: Bacteria; Bacillati; Bacillota; Bacilli; Lactobacillales; Lactobacillaceae.
GCAAUCUGCCCUAAAGACUGGGAUACCACUUGGAAACAGGUGCUAAUACCGGAUAACAACAUGAAUCGCAUGAUUCAAGUUUGAAAGGCGGCGCAAGCUGUCACUUUAGGAUGAGCCCGCGGCGCAUUAGCUAGUUGGUGGGGUAAAGGCCUACCAAGGCAAUGAUGCGUAGCCGAGUUGAGAGACUGAUCGGCCACAUUGGGACUGAGACACGGCCCAAACUCCUACGGGAGGCAGCAGUAGGGAAUCUUCCACAAUGGACGCAAGUCUGAUGGAGCAACGCCGCGUGAGUGAAGAAGGUCUUCGGAUCGUAAAGCUCUGUUGUUGGUGAAGAAGGAUAGAGGCAGUAACUGGUCUUUAUUUGACGGUAAUCAACCAGAAAGUCACGGCUAACUACGUGCCAGCAGCCGCGGUAAUACGUAGGUGGCAAGCGUUGUCCGGAUUUAUUGGGCGUAAAGCGAGCGCAGGCGGAAUGAUAAGUCUGAUGUGAAAGCCCACGGCUCAACCGUGGAACUGCAUCGGAAACUGUCAUUCUUGAGUGCAGAAGAGGAGAGUGGAACUCCAUGUGUAGCGGUGGAAUGCGUAGAUAUAUGGAAGAACACCAGUGGCGAAGGCGGCUCUCUGGUCUGCAACUGACGCUGAGGCUCGAAAGCAUGGGUAGCGAACAGGAUUAGAUACCCUGGUAGUCCAUGCCGUAAACGAUGAGCGCUAGGUGUUGGGGACUUUCCGGUCCUCAGUGCCGCAGCAAACGC